GUCGAGCGGAUGAAGGGAGCUUGCUCCUGGAUUCAGCGGCGGACGGGUGAGUAAUGCCUAGGAAUCUGCCUGGUAGUGGGGGAUAACGUCCGGAAACGGGCGCUAAUACCGCAUACGUCCUGAGGGAGAAAGUGGGGGAUCUUCGGACCUCACGCUAUCAGAUGAGCCUAGGUCGGAUUAGCUAGUUGGUGGGGUAAAGGCCUACCAAGGCGACGAUCCGUAACUGGUCUGAGAGGAUGAUCAGUCACACUGGAACUGAGACACGGUCCAGACUCCUACGGGAGGCAGCAGUGGGGAAUAUUGGACAAUGGGCGAAAGCCUGAUCCAGCCAUGCCGCGUGUGUGAAGAAGGUCUUCGGAUUGUAAAGCACUUUAAGUUGGGAGGAAGGGCAGUAAGUUAAUACCUUGCUGUUUUGACGUUACCAACAGAAUAAGCACCGGCUAACUUCGUGCCAGCAGCCGCGGUAAUACGAAGGGUGCAAGCGUUAAUCGGAAUUACUGGGCGUAAAGCGCGCGUAGGUGGUUCAGCAAGUUGGAUGUGAAAUCCCCGGGCUCAACCUGGGAACUGCAUCCAAAACUACUGAGCUAGAGUACGGUAGAGGGUGGUGGAAUUUCCUGUGUAGCGGUGAAAUGCGUA
Molecule: ribosomal RNA, 636 nt
Filed under: Pseudomonas aeruginosa
Lineage: Bacteria; Pseudomonadati; Pseudomonadota; Gammaproteobacteria; Pseudomonadales; Pseudomonadaceae
Also listed under: 1 other name
Description: bacterial SSU rRNA
Rfam family: Bacterial small subunit ribosomal RNA
Source: RNAcentral